GAAAUAAUCAAAGCAUUACAAUUUAUCUACUGUCAACUGAAAAUUAUACUUUCAGGCAUACAAUAACUAACUCAACAACCAACAUUCUGCUGACUAAUCUGAAGGAAGGGGAUGUUCAUUAAUUGAAUUGGGGAGGAAUAACAACAAAGUCAGCGAUAAGUUGUCUAGAAAACCACCGAGAGCUCAUGGCCACUCAAGCCAAAGUCGGAGGUGGAGUCGAAGUCCUAGGUCCUAAACAAACCACAUUUCUACGAGCAGCUGUGGAAGCCCUGGCAAUUAAAUGGUAAGGAAUUUCGGGGAGGCAACGAGCAAACAAAACACACACACAUCGUUUUACUGUGCCUGUCUGUCUAUCUGUCUGUGUGGGUUCCUUCCUUUGCCUUAUUUAUCUCAACACAAAGAUGACAUUUGUGUUGAAACAGGCAAAUUAGUAUUUAUUGCUUCUUGCUGCUGCUGACAUAUUAUUUUAUUUGUUUAAUUAAUUUACCAAAAAAUUACCACAAAGCAAUAUCAACAACGCCUUUCGGUAUUUUACUCUUCCUCUAACUUUUUGCUUCUUGUCUUCCUCUACCCGUUUCUUUUACGCUAUCCCUCUCUCUCUCUCUCUCUCCCUUUCUCUCUCUCUGUUAUGUCGCAUGGCAUAUGGCAUUUGUAAUAAAUAAGCAACAGAUAACCCAAAAAAGACAAUUAAAGGAGAGCCAAAAACUUUGUGGCUAGUAAAUUUUCGCUGAUUUUCCUCCCGAUUCUUUUUCUUAGACUUUUCCUGGACACACAUAGCCUCGCACACAUAAUUAAAUCAAUUAAAUAUUUAACGUGCUUUGUCUGAGGCUCUCUUUCACAUCGUCCUUCAUCCAUUCGUUUUUUGGACUUUUAUUACACUGCUGCGGCAUUAAGGGUGCCGAGAGUUGCUUGUCCUUGGACUGAUUCCUCCCCCAUAAAUUAACAAUGGGAAGGACAAAAUUAAAUUAAGUAAAUCAUGUGGUGAUGUUCAAUCCCUGCCUACCCUCCUUUUUCCACCUUUUGCUUCCCCGCUGUCUUUGCAUUUCUCUUGGUUCUUUUUUGUUCCUCGAAAAUAAUUAAUUGUUGAUAGCUUGAAAUACCUUAAGAUGGACAGCUGCCAUAACAAUUUAACGACCAUAAAAGGACAAGAAAUGAAAAAUAAGUAGUUACGAGGAGGGACGUGUGAGACGCUUCGUACGCGUCACAACUUUUAUUUUUCAUUCUUGUCUGGACGUUGAUAUGCCAUGACUGUACCAUCAAGUGGCCCAUGCGACACCAAGGCAAAGCCUGUUACGCGCGGAACACAGCAGAACGCAGCCCUCCUCCCGGCCAACCGAACGAGGGGCGCUGCCGCAUGACGCGCGGCGCGAUUAACCGAACCGGUCGCGAGCAUGCAGGAAAGAUAGAUGAUAGGCUAAUAUUCGAGGAAAAUCAGAGCUAAACACAACUAGACUAUAGCUAGCAACUAUAGCAAGCAAAAAUUACCAAAAUCAGAAACAAGGCAAAACUAAAAUGAAACUAACUACGGGAGAGGUUGGCUAAUAUAAGAGAUUUAAGAAGAGGAAGGGAGUUAGUUGAGGAUAUAAUGUGGUAGAGGGAAUUGUAAUCCGAGCAUAAAACCCUAAAGGGUUCGUGUGAGGCAUAAUUCAAUCUACAUAGUGGAAGGAACAAAGGAAUAAAGUUUCUGGUGGGUCUAAUGGGAAUCGUAAAGUUUAUGCGGGUCAGCGGUCAGGGCUGUAUACAUCCCCCUUGAUCAAGUGCAUACAAAUUAUAAUUAAUAGAUGUUUUGAAGAAAUGUUGUAAAAAGAUCGGCGUUUGCCUGAUCAUUGUUUGCCGACAUAUUCAAAAAUGAUAGCGAGGAUGGAUGUGCGGACGUUCUACGCUUACUGUUUACAAAGCUGUAAAACUGUUUAGAGUCCUGUAAAAAAAGUAUCCUGCAUCGAAGGAGGUAGUUCCUAUAGCAUUGAGAAUUAAGAACAGUGAAAUUUGACCGAGCUAUUAAGUAAUUAGAAAGAGAAGAGGGAGAACCAACUUCUUGAGAUUUUUUAAAUAGUCUUGAUUUUAGGUUCGCUAGACUGGAUAACUCUUUGGUGAACCAAGGAGGUUUCGCAGAUCUAGUCGGUCAUGAAAGUGGGACACACGUGUCAAAAAUUGUGUCAAGUACAUUGUAAAAAAUGUUUGUGGGUUCAAUGACGUCAGUGCACGAGUACAGAGCGGACCAAUCAAAAUUUCUAAUUAAGUUAUUGAGCUUCGUAAACUCGGCAUUACGAAAGCAGCGGUUCAGAUAGUCUACUCGCACGAUCCGAUACAGUAGGUCCAAUAUCUAUGGACACUUCGAAAGUAGGAUGAUAGCAGUCUUCAGGUAUAGUGAGCGGGAGUGCUCGUGUUAACAACGCUACGGUCGGAUCCGAGACAAAGCACAGAUCAAGCAAUCGACCCAAGGAGUUUUUUACAUGGUUGACUUGAGACAGGGACAGGUCUAAUAAGCCAUCAAUAAACUCAUGUCGUGACAUGGGCACAAGGUNCCUUGAUCAAGUGCAUACAAAUUAUAAUUAAUAGAUGUUUUGAAGAAAUGUUGUAAAAAGAUCGGCGUUUGCCUGAUCAUUGUUUGCCGACAUAUUCAAAAAUGAUAGCGAGGAUGGAUGUGCGGACGUUCUACGCUUACUGUUUACAAAGCUGUAAAACUGUUUAGAGUCCUGUAAAAAAAGUAUCCUGCAUCGAAGGAGGUAGUUCCUAUAGCAUUGAGAAUUAAGAACAGUGAAAUUUGACCGAGCUAUUAAGUAAUUAGAAAGAGAAGAGGGAGAACCAACUUCUUGAGAUUUUUUAAAUAGUCUUGAUUUUAGGUUCGCUAGACUGGAUAACUCUUUGGUGAACCAAGGAGGUUUCGCAGAUCUAGUCGGUCAUGAAAGUGGGACACACGUGUCAAAAAUUGUGUCAAGUACAUUGUAAAAAAUGUUUGUGGGUUCAAUGACGUCAGUGCACGAGUACAGAGCGGACCAAUCAAAAUUUCUAAUUAAGUUAUUGAGCUUCGUAAACUCGGCAUUACGAAAGCAGCGGUUCAGAUAGUCUACUCGCACGAUCCGAUACAGUAGGUCCAAUAUCUAUGGACACUUCGAAAGUAGGAUGAUAGCAGUCUUCAGGUAUAGUGAGCGGGAGUGCUCGUGUUAACACGCUACGGUCGGAUCCGAGACAAAACACAGAUCAAGCAAUCGACCCAAGGAGUUUUUUACAUGGUUGACUUGAGACAGGGACAGGUCUAAUAAGCCAUCAAUAAACUCAUGUCGUGACAUGGGCACAAGGUUGUUUGACUCGUUUACCGAAGACCAGACAUUACCUGGCAGGCUGAAAUCCCCAACAACUAUUAAAUGGUCUUUAUCAGAUAGCGAGGAAGAAACAGUUUUUAAGGCAGACAAGUGCUGCUCGUAUAUUAGUACAUCCGAAGUCGGUGGAAUGUACGAGAAAGUGACAUAAAUAGACUGGCCGGGAAGAAUCAAUCUAACACAGAGGAAUUCCAGGUCUUGUGAGACCUGGACAAUGAAAAGUUCCGACGUAAAGUAAGAGUUUACUGCAAUCAGAACCCCUCCUCCACGUCGAGACGAACGAUCAUUCCUAUAAAUUGUGUACCGAUCUGCCAAAACUUCGGAACUAAGAAGGCCCGGCACAGUAGCGCCGCGAUCUGUGACGAGAAAGCACGUGGGGAACAUAUCCUCUACGCCAGGUAAGUAUUGGAGCAAAAUUGUAACAAGUUACAUAUUUCGACGUGACGAUUUCCCCCUUGUAAAGGCGGGCGGCCAAAUAAUUCCCCUCUACCCAAGGGUAGAGCGGUAACUUAAAACCUAAAAAAAAAAGAAGGUCCGGCUUUAACCAGGUUUCGGUAAACACAAUAACAUGGGAUGAAAAUGUGAAACUAUCCAUAAAAAGAGUGCUCAGCUUACUACUUAAGCCGAGAGCAUUUUGAUAGGCUACAAAGAGGGAUGUUAGUUUUUUGACUGCAACGAAUUGCAGUGGGAAGAGGUGGAUGGAGCAGAGGAGGAAGGACCACUGGCCUUUAUACAUAUUAUAUUUUUGUUAAAUGUUUAUUUUACAUUUAACAUUUUUUCUACAUAUUUUAUCUACAUCUACAUCUUUUUUCACGCCAACACGCUCUUUUAGCUCGCCCCCCUCUGGCUCUAGUUUGUAUAGUCUCUUAGAUCCAGGCGCUCAACGAGACGGAAGGACGGGCGGACAGACGGACAGGGCUACAUCGAAUCGGCUAUUGGUGCUGAUCAAGAAUAUAUGUACUUUAUGGGGUCGGAAACGUCUCCUUCUAUGUGUUACAUACAUACAUCCACUUUGUGCACAAAUACAACCCUAUUUACUCUUUGAGUACCGAGUAUAAUUAUGGAAACUAUGCAAAGAUAGAGUGUAAAAUUUACAUUGAAAUUUGGUUCAAGAGCCUAUGAACUUCCAGGGCGAAAUCUUUCUAAAUUAAUCUACUCUUCUCCUAGAAUUAAAAAUGGAAUUUCCAUCUACAAUUGGGUCCCUGUAGCAAAUAUAACUUCACCAAAAGUAUCCCUCAUUGUGGGCACGGAUCUUUCAUUUGCUCCUCUGGCCAUAAUCUCUCGGGGAAUCGAAAUCGCAACCAAGUGAAAACGAGCAUGUUACAAGUGGUCGUAACAGCAGCAACAAGCAACAUUGUCGGUUUAUGGGUCACUACCGUUUGACUGCAUUUAUGGAUGGCCUGCUCCUCUGUCGUCGUUCGUCGCUCGUCUGCUUUUUGUAGCUUCGAUCUUAUUUUUUUGGCUAGUAUUUCUUAGGGUUUCAUGUUGUCCAUAAUAAAGCAAACAUAUGACCAUUAUGCAAAUAUACAAGGUAGUCUCCUCGGGUGGCAUUCGGGUGUGUUCGUGCCUAUUAAGUUUCAGUGGGUACUCGCUUGUUGAUGCAAAUGGGCGCUGAAAAUUACUUUUUAUAAUUUUUUUAGAAUUAAGAGUAGCUUAUUGAAAAAUCGAAUUAAAAAAACACUUAAACUUUUUUUUUAUAAUGUUCAAAUUUAAACCCCAUGCCAACAUAGGACAUGUAAUCAUCACACGAUAGUUUCGUUUCACUCACACUUACUGCGCAGAACCCUUUCACUCGCACUUACAAACAGCAUAGCUGUCCUUAUGACAAGGCAGAGACCAAGAGAGAGAGAUAGAGAGAGAGAGAGAGAGAGAGAGAGAGAGAGACAGAGUGGGAAUGGGAGAGGACAAGGAAUUCUUGAGAGAAUAUAUAAAUGUUGAACCCUGCAGGCAAGCCAGAGACGAGCAGCCAAUAAAAUCAGCGGAAGCUCAGAAAAGUCAUGAAAAAUGUUGCCAAAAAAAAAGACAACAAAAACAACGAAAAGGAAAAGGAUGGAGUCAAAAGCAUUUAUUGGGAAGGGUUCGGGUGAAUGACACCGCGAGGCGGGAAUGUACGAGUAUCUCUGUGUGUUAUCAUUAUUUUUACUGCAACGCAUUCGCAUAAAGGACAUUAUCAUAUUUUUCAUCAAAGUCAGCAACAGCGAUAAAAACUACAUACGUAUAUACAGCACACACACACAAACAGAUAAACACACACAUGAGUGAAUAACGGUUCUAUAUAACCCCUAGACUGUUCUCUCCUUCUCUGUCUGUGGGGCUCAGUCUGAGCAUUUCUAUUCUGCAGUUGCUGUCAACAUUUUUCAUAUCAUAAACACUUUUAGUGUUGAUAUUACCAACAAUAACUUUUCCCUCACACACACACACAUCCGCAUCCGCACCCGCAUCAGUAUAUGUACAUAUAACAGACACGCCCACCCGUCGCGUUGCGGCAAAGGUUAUUUCGUUCGUUUCACAACUUUUUGUUUUUUUUUUUCGUAGGUUUUUCUAACGUAUCAAACCGAGGCGAAAAAUGUUCAUGGCCUUCAUGGCCUUGAUUUGAUGGAUAAUGCAUCAGAAAAUAUGCGAAGAAUUCUUUACUAUUGAUUGCACCUUGCUCCCAUUUGGGAUUUGGAAUAAAAUCAUUCAAAAUUCUCCCAGCAAAAGAUUUUCCUUAAUGCUAUUCCCGAAUAACACAUCGUAGAUGCUUCAAAUUUAUUUAUGCCUCUUUGCGAUCACAGUGCACAGUUUUGCAUGCACUUGAGAUAUGUUUCGAAGGAAUCCACGUUGCAAGUCAAAUUCCGUUCGCAAUUUUCCGUUAAUGUAUUAAAAUACCAGCGCGGCAUGUGACAGUUUGCGCCAUCGUUCUGUGGUCUAAGGCAAUGCUGCUUUAGGGGUGUGCUGUCGGAAAUCGCUGAAGCUUCUU
This 6279-nucleotide long non-coding RNA is filed under the name Drosophila guanche. Lineage: Eukaryota; Metazoa; Arthropoda; Insecta; Diptera; Drosophilidae. The record is from RNAcentral.